GUUUACAGCUAGCUCUCUGCAACUCUCACAUGGUCGCCCACUGAACCUAAGCAGGGUUGCGCCCGGUCAGUACCUGGAUGGGAGACCACAUGGGAAAGGUAGGUUGCUGCCUGAAGU
Ribosomal RNA from Danio rerio (zebrafish), 117 nucleotides. The record is from Ensembl. Lineage: Eukaryota; Metazoa; Chordata; Actinopteri; Cypriniformes; Danionidae.